GAUGAACGCUGGCGGCGUGCCUAACACAUGCAAGUCGAACGGACUUCUGAUGAAGCCUAGUGAUUCGGAAGUUAGUGGCGGACGGGUGAGUAACGCGUGGGAAACCUGCCCUGUACCGGGGGAUAACACUUAGAAAUAGGUGCUAAUACCGCAUAAGUGCACGGUUCCGCAUGGAACAGUGUGAAAAACUCCGGUGGUACAGGAUGGUCCCGCGUCUGAUUAGCUAGUUGGUAAGGUAACGGCUUACCAAGGCGACGAUCAGUAGCCGGCCUGAGAGGGUGAACGGCCACAUUGGGACUGAGACACGGCCCAAA
This 314-nucleotide ribosomal RNA is filed under the name uncultured bacterium. RNAcentral describes it as "bacterial SSU rRNA". It matches the Rfam family "Bacterial small subunit ribosomal RNA", at positions 28 to 335 of the family's 1533-position model. The record is from RNAcentral.